GCCUUCUAUUUGUGCAUUUUCCUAGGUUUAUGAUUUUGUUGUUGUGUUCAAUUGUUGAUCCUUAUUACUUCAUUAUGUCUUAUGAUAAGUCCGAUUCCUUUCUUGUUCAUUUUAAUGGAAAAAAUUAUUUUGCUUGGGAGUUUCAAUUCAAAUUAUUUGUCAAAGGGAAAGAUUUAUGGGGUCAUAUUGAUGGAAAAACACCAGCAGCUACAAGUCCAAAGAAUUUGGCAAAAUGGGAAAUUAAAGAUGCCCAAAUCAUGACCUGGAUACUUAGCUCAGUUGAGCCUCACUUUAUUCUUAAUCUGAGGCCUUAUAAAACUGCUAAGGAAAUGUGAGAUUAUUUGAAAAAGGUUUAUAAUCAAGAAAACAUAGCUAGGAGGUUUCAAUUGGAGUAUGAGAUGGCUAAUUUCACACAAGGGAAUCUUUCAAUUGAGGAAUAUUUUUCUGGUUUUCAAAAUCUUUGGGCUGAAUAUUCAAACAUUAUUUAUGUUGGUAUCUCUGACGAAGCCCUCUCUGCUGUCCAAAAAGUGCACGAAACUAGCAAGAGAGACCAAUUCUUAAUGAAGUUGCACUCUGACUUUGAAGUCACUCGUUCUAAUCUGCUGAAUCGUGACCCAGUACUAGCUUUGGAUGCUUGCUUCAGUGAAAUUCUUCGAGAGGAACAACGCAUGGCAACUUAAGCAACCAUGGAACACAAAACCAAUUCUAGUGCUCCUGCUAAUGUGGCCUAUGCAGCAUAAGGAAGAAAUAAGAGCAGAGAUAUGCGUUAUGUCCAAUGCUACAAUUGUAAAGGAUUUGGUCAUAUUGCGAAGGAUUGCCCACAAAAAUUUUGUAACUACUGCAAGCAGCAAGGGCAUAUCAUCACAACCUAUCCGAUUCCACCUAAAAGAAAGCAAGGAGUUGUUUAUCAUGCCUCUAUUGGUACCUCUAGUUCUACUACAUUGCCUGUUUCAACUUCUGUUCCUACACGUCCUGCAAACACACUUACUCUUGAAAUGGUACAAUAGAUGAUUCUUUCUGCAUUUUCUGCCUUUGGACUCUUAGGAUCUAGUGUCCGGGAAGAUAAUCCUUAAGGGACCUAAAGUGGGACGACUCUUUCCACUACACUUAUCUUCUUCCAAAAUUUGUCCUACCUUUCCUUUACUUUCUUUAGUCUGUAUUGAUGAUAGACAAAUAAAUAAAAUGUGGCAUAAUCGUUUAGGGUACCCAAAUUCUCAUGUACUUAGUACCUUGUUGAAAUCUGGUUCAUUGGGCAAUAAAGAUUUUUCUGUUCUUUUUGAUUGUACUACAUGCAAACUUGGCAAAAGUAAAGUUUUACCCUUCCCAAAUAAUGCAUCUCGUGCAACCCAUUGUUUUGACAUUAUUCAUAGCGAUAUUUGGGGGAUUUCACUUGUUGCUUCUCAUGCAUGUUAUAAGUAUUUUGUCACUUUUAUAGAUGACUAUAGUUGAUUUACUUGGGUAUACUUUCUUCGGUCUAAGGUAGAAGUUUUCUCUGGUUUUCAACGUUUUGUCUCACUUCUUGAAACUCAAUUCUCUACCCACAUAAAAAUCUUAAGAUUUGAUUCUUGGGAAGAAUAUAUGUCUCAUGAAUUUCAAAGUUUUCUUCAAAAUCAAGGAAUCAUAUCUCAGUGUUCUUGUCCAUCCACACUGCAACAAAAUGGUGUUGCCGAAAGAAAGAAUCAUCAUCUUCUUGAUGUAGUAAGAAUACUUUUUCUUGAAUCAUCUGUUCCUCCUCGCUUUUGGUGUGAAGCACUUUCUACUGCUGUUUAUUUAAUAAAUUGGUUACCUUCUCCAACAUUACAAAAUGUUUCUCCUUUUUUUAAGUUGUUUGGGCAUUUUCCUUCAUACUCUGAUCUUCGUAUUUUUUCUUGUGUUUGUUUUGUACAUCUUCCUGCUCAUGACGUAACAAAUUUACUGCCCAAUCUGUUAAGUGUGCUUUUUUAGGAUAUGAUAUUACUCAAAAAAGGUAUGCUUGUUAUGAUCCACAGUCCCAUCAUAUUAGAAUUUCUAGGAAUGUGGUUUUCUUUGAAAAUCAAUAUUUUUUUUCUUCGUUUAUUGAACCACCAUCUUCCUUUUUAUCUCUUAUGUCACACUUUGCAGAUUCUUCAACAAUUGUGGAACAGUUCAAGCCUAGUUUUGUGUAUGAAAGACGUCGUCAAGUUGAUCCCAGUUCUCUUAUGAUUCUGCCCUGACACUAGAUCUUGUCACUCUUGUCAUACCUCUUCAUCAUCGAUCCACUCGACCGUCUAAACCCCCUGACUAAUAUGGUUUUUAUACACAUGUAUCUCUAUCAACUACCUUGUCUUCUAUUUGCAUUCCAUCUUGUUACACACAAGCUAUGAAACAUGAAUGUUGGAAAUAAGCAAUGCAAGAAGAACUGCAAGCACUUCAAGAAAAUUACACUUGGGACAUUGUUCCUUGUCCUCCCAUUGUCAAACCUAUUGGAAGUAAAUGGGUUUUCUGUAUAAAGCUUCAUUCUGAUAGCUCUUUGGAUCGCUACAAAGCUCGAUUAGUCGCCCUUGGUAAUAAAUAGGAAUAUGGGGUUGAUUAUGAGGAGACAUUUGCUCCUGUUGCCAAGAUGACUACAGUUUGGACCAUCCUAGCCAUUGUUGCUUCUAAAUCUUGGCCACUACAUCAAAUGGAUGUGAAGAAUGUUUUUCUUCACGGUGAUCUAAAAGAAGAAAUCUACAUGAAGCUUCCCUUUGGUAUGACUGCCUCCUCUCCUAAUGAUGUUUGUAAACUACGUCGUUCUUUGUAUGGGCUUAAACAAGCUCAUCGGGCUUGAUUUGAGAAGUUUCUUACUACGCUUCUUAAUUUCUCCUUCACACAAAGUCAAUAUGAUUAUUCUUUUUUCUUCCACAAGUCUCCCACGGGUAUAGUUCUCAUCUUGGUUUAUGUGGAUGAUCUAAUCAUUACGGGAACUGAUAAUGGGUUGAUUACUAAGCUUCAAGCAGUGUUACAUGCAACAUUUUGCAUGAAAGAUCUUGGCCAACUAACAUAUCUUUUGGGAUUGGAGGUACAUCAUCGAUCCAAUGGCAUAUAUUUAAACCAACAUAAGGACAUCCAAGAUUUGAUCACUUUGGUUGGUUUAGAAGGAACUACUUCAAUUAAUACUCCUAUGGAAGUAAAUGUCAAAUACAGGAAAGAUGAAGGGGAUCUUUUGGCUGAUCCAACUAUCUAUCGGCGUUCGGUAGGAAGUUUUAUCUACCUAACGACAACUCAACCUGACAUUUCGUAUGUUGUUCACCAAGUCAACCAGUUUAUGUCUUCUCCUCGACAUCUUCAUUUUGUUGUUGUUCGUCGCAUUAUCUGCUAUCUUAUAGGGUCCCUUACACGUGGGUUAUUCUUUCCUAGAGGCUCACCCUUACAGCUUCUGGCAUAUAGUGAUGCUGCAAGGUGUCUGUAUACUCGUCGGUCUACUACAGGUUGGUGUAUGUUUCUCGGCGGUGUCUUCAUUUCUUGGAAAUGUAAGAAGCAAGAUCGUGUUUCUAAAUCUUCUACUGAGGUUGAAUAUCGUUCAAUGUCUUCUUCUUGUUCUAAAAUUGUGUGGUUACGCAGUCUUUUAGAGGAGCUUGAAUUUUCACGGCCUGACUCUACCCCUCUUCAUGCUAAUAAUACAAGUACUAUUUAAAUUGUUGCAAAUACCUUGUUCCACGAACGUACCAAACAUAUCGAGGUUGAUUGUGACUAAAUCAGGGAAGCCUUGACCAGUAAAGUCAUCUAUCUCCCUUACAUCUCCAUAGAUCUACAAGUGACUGAUAUCUUUACCAAAGUUAUGACUAGACAACGCUAUUAGUUUCUUGUUGGUAAAUUGUUGCUGGUUGACUUACCGAAAUCAAUUUGAGGGGGAUGUUAAUAUAUAUUUAAUGUAAUUUAUUACAUGUUUUAAUAGGAUUAUAGUUGUAUUAUUUUAUAUGUGGCAUAUAUCCUAACUGUUAGGAAAUUUCUUAUAAUCUCUCCCUUUCUUGUAUAACUCCUGUAAUCUCUCACAUUCUUGUAAAAGCAUAUAUCUUGCUGUCUAUUUAAGAAAGAGAAGCCGGAGAAAGCAAAUCAAUUAUUCAAAACAAAAGCUCUUGUCAUAUUGUAAAAUAUUUUCUGGUCUCUUGAUAUUUUGGCAAUCUCAAUGGUUGCUUUUAUUUUAAGUUUUACUUGCAAUACAAGAAAACUGUCAAUUUUAUAUUCUUUCUCGUGAUUUUAGUUAAGUUCAACUCUUGUUGUUAACACUGAAAGUGACAUGACUAUACAUUGCUAAUACUGCUGCAAAAACUUUCUAGUGUCAAAUUACUACAUAAUUUUCUGUUAGAUGUUAGACUGCAAGUGAAUAAGGACAUCAAAUUUGAAAGUUCAUAGUAAGUCCUAUCCCUAUGAAUUCAUGCUUCUUAAUCUUCAAAAUUUUAACUUGUGAAAGCUUGCAAUGAUGAUGGAAAUGAGAUAACGAAUUAAAUAAAGGAAAGCCAGCACAGCGAAUUGAUGAGUGUACUUACAUACGAGUUUCUAGCAGUUUCAAGUUGGCAGAAAUAAGGAAGAUUUUCUGCAAAGUGUACAUACCUGCGAUGGUUCUGGUAGUAGUUGUCAAGCUGAUAAUAGAUAUAAAUAGGAGCUUCCAUUUCAUGCUCAACCUGUGAAGUUUGCAACAAAAUUGUUUGGUUUCAAUCAGGUCUUGUUGGUGUCAUCGCUUUGAAUAUAUGAAUUUGCAUUGUGAGCAUAUGAGGGAGGAAGGCAUCUAUCAUCAUAUCGGAAUAUAGCUUCCUCCACCUGAAAUGCAUCAGUAUUUCUUUAUUUAUUGAUGAAACGUUCAGCUUCAGCACAAAAUCUCAUUUGACACUGUGUAAGUAUGUAUACGAGAUGUUACACUCUCUGAUGCAAACAAUGUUAGAAGACCAAUAGGGAUGUAGAGGAUUCCGACGACAGAAAAUGUGGCAAUGACCUGCGAAAACAAAGGGAAAAUAAUCACUGGUCAACUGUUAGAACGUUGCAAAACCAAAUGAGGUAUGUGUGCUGAACGCUAUACCCAUCCAGGUGUUAGAAUUGGUUUCCAUGCAGGAAGGUCUUGCUGUGAAAAUUGUGUAUCUACAAUUAAAAAAAUAAAUGAGCAAUAAUUCAAACACAAGUUUGUGCAUGAAAUGACCUCAAGUCCUUCAGAUUUUAGUGCAAAUGUAGCAUUUGAGCAAUUGGCCUUACAAAUAGUUAAACAAAGCACCGAAAAAAGUUGGAUGCUUAUUGAUUAUUGAAAGAAACAGAUGGUUAUUUAUUUAUCUAUUGGAAUGAACAAUUGUUUUCAAGUUGCCACAUGAGAUUUACGUAACUUUGUUAAGACAUAGAAAGAGGGCAUGUUAAUGAGAAGAAAUUAAAGGAAAGAGGAGAUUUAUGUAACAAAGUGAAGAACAGACAUAU
Molecule: non-coding RNA, 5394 nt
Organism: Cajanus cajan (pigeon pea)
Lineage: Eukaryota; Viridiplantae; Streptophyta; Magnoliopsida; Fabales; Fabaceae
Source: RefSeq, a predicted model, not a curated record